GGUGAACGCUGGCGGCGUGCCUAACACAUGCAAGUCGAACGGUAGGAUACCUUCGGGUAUCUGAGAGUGGCGAACGGGUGAGUAACACGUAGGUGAUCUACCCUCAAGAUUGGGACAACCCAGGGAAACUUGGGCUAAUACCGGAUGAAAGCAGCAGUGAUGUUGUUUGAAAGGUGGCGUAAGCUGCCGUUUGGGGAUGAGCCUGCGCUCUAUUAGUUAGUUGGCGGGGUAAAGGCCCACCAAGGCGAUGAUAGAUAGGCGGCCUUAACGGGUGGUCGCCCACACUGGGAUUGAGAUACGGCCCAGACUCCUACGGGAGGCAGCAGUCGAGAAUAGUCUACAAUGGCCGAAAGGCUGAUAGUGCGACGCCGCGUGAACGAAGAAGCCCUUCGGGGUGUAAAGUUCUUUUAUAUGUGAGCAGUGCUUUCUAUGUGAACAGCAUGGGGAGAGAGAUAUUAGCAUAUGAAUAAGCAACGGCUAACUCCGUG
Molecule: ribosomal RNA, 488 nt
Filed under: uncultured bacterium
Lineage: Bacteria
Description: bacterial SSU rRNA
Rfam family: Bacterial small subunit ribosomal RNA
Source: RNAcentral